CCUACGGGAGGCAGCAGUGAGGGAUAUUGGUCAAUGGGGGAAACCCUGAACCAGCAACGCCGCGUGAGGGCAGACGGUUUUCGGAUUGUACACCUCUGUCCUCUGUGAAGAUAAUGACGGUAGCAGAGGAGGAAGCUCCGGCUAACUACGUGCCAGCAGCCGCGGUAAUACGUAGGGAGCAAGCGUUGUCCGGAUUUACUGGGUGUAAAGGGAGCGUAGGCGGGGAUGCAAGUUGGGUGUUAAAUCUACCGGCUCAACUGGUAGUCGCACUCAAACAUGCAGCUCUUGAGUGAAGUAGAGGCAGGCGGAAUUCCUAGUGUAGCGGUGAAAUGCGUAGAUAUUAGGAGGAACACCAGUGGCGAAGGCGGCCUGCUGGGCUUUUACUGACGCUGAGGCUCGAAAGUGUGGGGAGCAAACAGGAUUAGAUACCCCUGUAGUC
RNAcentral lists this ribosomal RNA (439 nucleotides) under uncultured bacterium. RNAcentral describes it as "partial 16S ribosomal RNA". It matches the Rfam family "Bacterial small subunit ribosomal RNA", at positions 338 to 795 of the family's 1533-position model. The record is from RNAcentral.